Molecule: ribosomal RNA, 195 nt
Filed under: uncultured bacterium
Lineage: Bacteria
Description: partial 16S ribosomal RNA
Rfam family: Bacterial small subunit ribosomal RNA
Source: RNAcentral
CGGAGUCUGCAACCCGACUCCGUGAAGCUGGAUUCGCUAGUAAUCGCGCAUCAGCCAUGGCGCGGUGAAUACGUUCCCGGGCCUUGUACACACCGCCCGUCAAGCCAUGGGAGCCGGGAGCGCUUGAAGCGCGUCGCCGCGAGGCGCGCCCUAGAGCGAGACCGGUGACUGGGGGCUAAGUCGUAACAAGGUACC